UCGACAGCCACCCCAGG
RNAcentral lists this ribosomal RNA (17 nucleotides) under Avicennia germinans (black mangrove). RNAcentral's name for it is "partial 23S ribosomal RNA". Lineage: Eukaryota; Viridiplantae; Streptophyta; Magnoliopsida; Lamiales; Acanthaceae. The record is from RNAcentral.